RNAcentral lists this ribosomal RNA (254 nucleotides) under uncultured bacterium. RNAcentral describes it as "partial 16S ribosomal RNA". It matches the Rfam family "Bacterial small subunit ribosomal RNA", at positions 524 to 776 of the family's 1533-position model. The record is from RNAcentral.
UACGUAGGGGGCAAGCGUUGUCCGGAUUUAUUGGGCGUAAAGAGCUCGUAGGUGGUUCGGUAAGUCGGAUGUGAAAUCUCCAGGCUCAACCUGGAGGGGUCAUUCGAUACUGCCGUGACUAGAGGUCGGUAGGGGAGUGUGGAAUUCCUGGUGGAGCGGUGAAAUGCGCAGAUAUCAGGAGGAACACCCGUAGCGAAGGCGGCACUCUGGGCCGAUACUGACGCUGAGGAGCGAAAGCGUGGGGAGCGAACAGG